GGUAUGGGAUGAGCUUGCGUCCGAUUAGCUAGUUGGCGGGGCAACGGCCCACCAAGGCGACGAUCGGUAGCCGGCCUGAGAGGGUGAUCGGCCACAUUGGGACUGAGAUACGGCCCGGACUCCUACGGGAGGCAGCAGUAGGGAAUAUUGCACAAUGGGGGAAACCCUGAUGCAGCAACGCCACGUGUGGGAAGAAGCAUUUCGGUGUGUAAACCACUGUCAUGAGGGAAUAAGGCCCGCCUUCGGACGGGAUUGAAUGUACCUUGAGAGGAAGCACCGGCAAACUUCGUGCCAGCAGCCGCGGUAAUACGAGGGGUGCAAGCGUUGUUCGGAAUUACUGGGCGUAAAGGGAGCGUAGGCGGAGAUUCAAGCGGAUUGUACAAUCCCGGGGCCCAACCCCGGCUCUGCAGUCCGAACUGGAUCUCUUGGAUAGUUCAGGGGCAGGC
RNAcentral lists this ribosomal RNA (446 nucleotides) under uncultured rumen bacterium. RNAcentral's name for it is "bacterial SSU rRNA". It matches the Rfam family "Bacterial small subunit ribosomal RNA", at positions 217 to 662 of the family's 1533-position model. The record is from RNAcentral.